GAUGAACGCUGGCGGCGUGCCUAACACAUGCAAGUCGAACGGAGUCCAGCCUUUAAGACCUUCGGGUCAAAGAGGGGAAGCCUGAGUGGCGGACGGGUGAGUAACACGUGGGCAACCUGGCUCAUAGAGGGGGAUAACAGAGAGAAAUUUCUGCUAAUACCGCAUAAGCACACACUGCCGCAUGGCAGAGGGUGAAAAGAGAAUCGCUAUGAGAUGGACCCGCGUCUGAUUAGCCAUUUGGCAGGGUAAGAGCCUACCAAAGCGACGAUCAGUAGCCGAUCUGAGAGGAUGAACGGCCACAUUGGGACUGAGACACGGCCCAAACUCCUACGGGAGGCAGCAGUGGGGGAUAUUGCACAAUGGGGGGAACCCUGAUGCAGCGACGCCGCGUGAGUGAAGAAGUAUUUCGGUAUGUAAAGCUCUAUCAGCAGGGAAGAUAAUGACAGUACCUGAAUAAGAAGCCCCGGCUAACUACGUG
This 478-nucleotide ribosomal RNA is filed under the name uncultured bacterium. Its description in RNAcentral is "partial 16S ribosomal RNA". It matches the Rfam family "Bacterial small subunit ribosomal RNA", at positions 28 to 507 of the family's 1533-position model. The record is from RNAcentral.